UUAUUAUUUACAUUAAUAAUUUAUUUGUGCAAUUCAUAUAAGUUUGAUUAAUUAUUAUAUUAUUAAUUUAUUUAUUAUAUUUGUUUUUAUAAAAAUAAUUUGUUUUUUAGUAUAUUUUAUUGAAAUAUUUUUUUUAAUUAUAGUUUAUUAGUAUUGUAAGAGAAUUAUUUUAUUUUUAUUAAAGAAUUUGUUUAUUUAGUACCUUUUGCAUCAGGGUUUAUUAAUUAUUAUUUAAUUAUUUUUAUUUUUCCCGAAAUUAUAAGAUUUAUAUUUAUAUGAUUGUUGAUGUUUUAAAUUUAUAUUUAAUUUAGAUAUAGUGGUGAUAUGCUAUUCAUUUAUUAAUAUAUCUGGUUUUUUAAUAAUUUUAUUUAAUAAAGAAUUAUAGGUUUAAUAUUAAUAUUUUAUUUUUAUUAUUUUAUAAUUUUAAUCAUUAAAGGAUAAGCUUUUUUGAUUUUAUAUAAUUUUAAUUUAUUUUAAGUUUUGUAGGAUUAGUAACUUUCAUCAUUAAUUUCGUUAUAGUUUUUCUUAAAUUUUUCUUUAUUUUGUUUUAGUUUAUUUUUUUAUUAAAAUUAAUUAAUUAAUUAUACUUUAUUUUAAAUAAUGAUAAAAUUAGUAUAUUUUAAAAUAAAAUAUAGUAACUCGGCAAUUUUAAUUUUCACCUGUUUAUCAAAAACAUGUCUUUUUGUUUAUUAUAUAAAGUCUAGUCUGCUCUAUGAUUUAAAUUAAAUGGCCGCAGUAUUUUAACUGUGCAAAGGUAGCAUAAUCAUUUGUCUCUUAAUUAGAGGCUUGUAUGAAUGGCUGGAUGAGGAAUUAACUUUCUUUAUUUUAUUUUAUUAGAAUUUAAUUUUUAAGUUAAAAAGCUUAAAUUUACUUAUUAGACGAUAAGACC
This 889-nucleotide ribosomal RNA is filed under the name Anthocoris confusus. RNAcentral's name for it is "partial 16S ribosomal RNA". The stretch from base 651 to 812 matches the Rfam family "Bacterial large subunit ribosomal RNA", at positions 1791 to 2013 of the family's 2925-position model. The record is from RNAcentral. Lineage: Eukaryota; Metazoa; Arthropoda; Insecta; Hemiptera; Anthocoridae.